UGUCCUACGGGGCGCAGCAGUGGGGGAUAUUGGACAAUGGGGGAAACCCUGAUCCAGCGACGCCGCGUGAGUGAAGAAGUAUUUCGGUAUGUAAAGCUCUAUCAGCAGGGAAGAAAGAAAUGACGGUACCUGAGUAAGAAGCCCCGGCUAACUACGUGCCAGCAGCCGCGGUAAUACGUAGGGGGCAAGCGUUAUCCGGAUUUACUGGGUGUAAAGGGAGCGUAGACGGCUGUGCAAGUCUGAAGUGAAAGCCCGGGGCCCAACCCCGGGACUGCUUUGGAAACUGCCAUGCUGGAGUGCUGGAG
Molecule: ribosomal RNA, 305 nt
Filed under: uncultured bacterium
Lineage: Bacteria
Description: bacterial SSU rRNA
Rfam family: Bacterial small subunit ribosomal RNA
Source: RNAcentral